Long non-coding RNA from Tripterygium wilfordii, 1063 nucleotides. RefSeq lists it as uncharacterized. NCBI's taxonomy places the organism in Eukaryota, Viridiplantae, Streptophyta, Magnoliopsida, Celastrales, Celastraceae. The record is from RefSeq and is a predicted model, not a curated record. The transcript is spliced from 3 exons.
AGUGCGCUCAUCAUGUGAGAGCGAGCAAGCGCGAACAAUAUGUAGUAGUGUCGCUGUCUAGUGUGUAAGAAGUGUAAAGUCGGUGUAGUGGUAUAUCAUAUGUGUAUGUAUAUAUAUGUAUUUGUAUGUGUCGGGGUUGAUUUGUGGAGAUUUUUCUCUCUCAAAUUGUCUCUUUUUUCCUCAGGCCGCAUUUUGUUUCUCUCAAUAUUUGAUUUGUUUAGUUUAGGUAUCUUUUUGCUACUUUCUCAACCUUUCCCGCCCCUCCUCAGAAACCCUAACAUCUAGUUUAUGAGAAUUACCAUGGCUUCGAGAGCAAAAUUUUUUCAGAUCUACGUUUUUUGCUUCCUAUUUUCCUACUUGAGCAGUUUUCUCAUUCCAAAGCAUCGAUAAACUGACAAAUUCCAAAUAGAUUCAAGAUCAGAAAGGAAAGGAAAGAGAAGUGAGAGAAUGGAUGCCAUAGGUUCAGUGAUCAAUCAGCUCAGAAAGUUCGCCUCAGACAGCGUUCGCCUUGCGAAGAGGUGCCACAAGCCCGAUCUCGAAGAAAUCAUGAAGCUGGCGUCCCGUGUUCGUGGUAUGAGAUUCGUCGGGUUCUUCGAAAAGCUGAUCUUCAUCCCGAUCAACGACAUCAUUGUUUGAUCUCGCUAGGUGAGCAACACAAGCUGGAAAUGGUCAAUGAGGUAGGGUGUUCGAUGAACUUUUUAUUUUUCCCCCUCUCUGACUUAUCUUUUUUCCAUUAAGGAUUUAUGGACUUUAUUCAACUCGUAGAGCAAAUGACCCACAUUCUUUAAGAAGUUUUGGUUGGCUAUAGGCUUUAAUACUUGGUGGCAAAUGGGAAUGUUCGACGAUGCCUAUAGAUUGUUAAGAAAGUGUAUUACAUAUUGACCUAAAAUUGUUUUUAUUACAAGGUCUUAAUUUUGUGUGUGAGAGAGAGAGGCACAAUAGAUCAAAGCCAUUCUUCUCCCUGUAAAUUAAAUGAGAAUCCUGUUGAAAUGAUUUUAUAUGUUUUCGAAUUGGAUUCUCUGAUUGUCAUUGACAUUAAACGAUAAUCUUUGUUCAUGGUUUA